RNAcentral lists this ribosomal RNA (497 nucleotides) under uncultured bacterium. Its description in RNAcentral is "partial 16S ribosomal RNA". It matches the Rfam family "Bacterial small subunit ribosomal RNA", at positions 28 to 507 of the family's 1533-position model. The record is from RNAcentral.
GAUGAACGCUGGCGGCGUGCCUAAUACAUGCAAGUCGAGCGAACGGACGAGGAGCUUGCCUCUCUGAUGUUAGCGGCGGACGGGUGAGUAACACGUGGAUAACCUACCUAUAAGACUGGGAUAACUUCGGGAAACCGGAGCUAAUACCGGAUAAUAUUUUGAACCGCAUGGUUCAAAAGUGAAAGACGGUCUUGCUGUCACUUAUAGAUGGAUCCGCGCUGCAUUAGCUAGUUGGUAAGGUAACGGCUUACCAAGGCAACGAUGCAUAGCCGACCUGAGAGGGUGAUCGGCCACACUGGAACUGAGACACGGUCCAGACUCCUACGGGAGGCAGCAGUAGGGAAUCUUCCGCAAUGGGCGAAAGCCUGACGGAGCAACGCCGCGUGAGUGAUGAAGGUCUUCGGAUCGUAAAACUCUGUUAUUAGGGAAGAACAUAUGUGUAAGUAACUGUGCACAUCUUGACGGUACCUAAUCAGAAAGCCACGGCUAACUACGUG